CCUCUGAGUAUGUUGGUCUUGGUGAAACGAACGUGAAUUCUUCUGAAAACUGCACGAAUCUUCAAUCAUCUAACUGCGCUAGUAGAGGUAUUACAAGAAAGAGAGGGCCGUAUAAAUUAUACAAUUUGAACCCAGAAGACGAAAGUUUUAACGCUAAAAUACCAAAGACAACUAAAUGGCGUCGUACUCGUGAGAGGGAUGUUGCGUCCUCUGAAGAAAACCUGGACGAACAAGAUUCGAUUGCUGAACCAGAUGAAGAGUUACAGCCUUGUUCUGAUCCCUCGUUUACCGUGGGAAAUGAAAGUCAUGAUUUAACAGAUGAUUGUGAUAAUCAAGUCAGUGAUGAUAAUGACAAUAAUCCUAAUCGAUUUGUUCAGUUCCAAGAAGGUUGUGGAAAUCAAGAUGAAAGUGGUGAUGAAUUGUACCAAUCUGAAGCUGACCAGGAACCAGUGGAUGAACCAUUGUAUGAAAAUGCACCUGU
Molecule: long non-coding RNA, 481 nt
Organism: Dendronephthya gigantea
Lineage: Eukaryota; Metazoa; Cnidaria; Anthozoa; Malacalcyonacea; Nephtheidae
Exons: 3
Source: RefSeq, a predicted model, not a curated record